GAUGAACGCUGGCGGCGUGCCUAAUACAUGCAAGUCGAGCGAACGGACGAGAAGCUUGCUUCUCUGAUGUUAGCGGCGGACGGGUGAGUAACACGUGGAUAACCUACCUAUAAGACUGGGAUCACUUCGGGAAACCGGAGCUAAUACCGUAUAAUAUUUUGAACCGCAUGGUUCAAAAGUGAAAGACGGUCUUGCUGUCACUUAUAGAUGGAUCCGCGCUGCAUUAGCUAGUUGGUAAGGUAACGGCUUACCAAGGCAACGAUGCAUAGCCGACCUGAGAGGGUGAUCGGCCACACUGGAACUGAGACACGGGCAAGACUCCUACGGGAGGCAGCAGAAGGGAAUCUUCCGCAAUGGGCGAAAGCCUGACGGAGCAACGCCGCGUGAGUGAUGAAGGUCUUCGGAUCGUAAAACUCUGUUAUUAGGGAAGAACAUAUGUGUAAGUAACUGUGCACAUCUUGACGGUACCUAAUCAGAAAGCCACGGCUAACUACGUG
Molecule: ribosomal RNA, 497 nt
Filed under: uncultured bacterium
Lineage: Bacteria
Description: partial 16S ribosomal RNA
Rfam family: Bacterial small subunit ribosomal RNA
Source: RNAcentral